GACGAACGCUGGCGGCGUGCUUAGCACAUGCAAGUCGAACGGAAAGGCCCUGCUUUUGUGGGGUGCUCGAGUGGCGAACGGGUGAGUAACACGUGAGUAACCUGCCCUUGACUUUGGGAUAACUUCAGGAAACUGGGGCUAUUACCGGAUAGGAGCUCCUGCUGCAUGGUGGGGGUUGGAAAGUUUCGGCGGUUGGGGAUGGACUCGCGGCUUAUCAGCUUGUUGGUGGGGUAGUGGCUUACCAAGGCUGUGACGGGUAGCCGGCCUGAGAGGGUGACCGGCCACAUGGGGACUGAGAGAGGGCCCAGACUCCUACGGGAGGCAGCAGGGGAGAAUAUUGCACAAUGGGCGGAAGCGUGAUGCAGCAACGCUGCGUGCGGGAUGACGGCCUUCGGGUUGUAAACCGCUUUCGCCUGUGACGAAGCGUGAGUGACGGUAAUGGGUAAAGAAGCACCGGCUAACUACGUG
This 468-nucleotide ribosomal RNA is filed under the name uncultured bacterium. Its description in RNAcentral is "partial 16S ribosomal RNA". It matches the Rfam family "Bacterial small subunit ribosomal RNA", at positions 28 to 507 of the family's 1533-position model. The record is from RNAcentral.